GACGAACGCUGGCGGCGUGCUUAAUACAUGCAAGUCAACUUGACUUUAGAUAGCAAUAUCGAAAAGUAGGGUGGCGCACGGGUGCGUAACGCGUAGGUAAUCUGCCCUGAGGUCUGACAUAACCCGUCGAAAGGCGGGCUAACAUCAGAUGAUAUAUAAUCACGACAUCGUGGAAAAUAUCAAAUCUUCGGAGCCUUGGGAUGAGCCUGCGUCUGAUUAGGGUAGUUGGCGGAGUAAUAGCCCACCAAGCCUACGAUCAGUAGCUGGUCUGAGAGGAUGAUCAGCCACACUGGAACUGAGACACGGUCCAGACUCCUACGGGAGGCAGCAGUAAGGAAUAUUGCUCAAUGGGGGAAACCCUGAAGCAGCAACGCCGCGUGAAGGAUGAAAUACUUUGUAUGUAAACUUCUGUAAAG
This 416-nucleotide ribosomal RNA is filed under the name uncultured bacterium. Its description in RNAcentral is "bacterial SSU rRNA". It matches the Rfam family "Bacterial small subunit ribosomal RNA", at positions 28 to 440 of the family's 1533-position model. The record is from RNAcentral.